Long non-coding RNA from Amblyraja radiata (thorny skate), 110 nucleotides. RefSeq lists it as uncharacterized. The record is from RefSeq and is a predicted model, not a curated record. Lineage: Eukaryota; Metazoa; Chordata; Chondrichthyes; Rajiformes; Rajidae. The transcript is spliced from 3 exons.
AGAGGCGGCGAUUAGUCAAGGCGGGGAUUAUGUGUGAGGUGGGAGGUUUAGUCAAGGCGAGGUUUAGUGAGUUGAGGUUUAAGUGUGAGGUGAGGAUAGGAAUGGAUGAG